Molecule: non-coding RNA, 29 nt
Filed under: Rattus norvegicus (Norway rat)
Lineage: Eukaryota; Metazoa; Chordata; Mammalia; Rodentia; Muridae
Source: RNAcentral
UCUGAAAUCCUUGAAAGAAGAUAAAGAGU